CAGUAGUGUAUAUCAACAUUGUUGCGCUUAAAACGCUCGUAGUUGGAUUACAGGGCGUCAAACAGCGGUGCAUCAUUGUACCUCUGGUUGUGGUGCUAGUUUCGACUGGCGCUGCAAUGACGCCCUUUUGUCGCACUAGUCUUUGUCGACGCCUUUACUGGCGUUGGCUAAGCACUGGUGGAGUGUGCCUUGAAUAAAGCAUAGUGCUCAAAGCAGGCGUACGCUCGUGUGUAAUAGCAUGGAACGAUAUACAUGGCCCAACGUCGCUGGCAACAGCGGCGCGGUUCAAUCAGUGUUGGUUGUGAACCAGGUCUCAGCGGUUAAAAGGGACAUCUGAGGGUAUUAGUACUUUGUGGCGAGAGGUGAAAUUCUUAGACCCACAAAAGACUGACUACUGCGAAAGCAUUUGCCAAGAAUGUUUUCAUUAAUCAAGAACGAAGGUCAGAGGAUCGAAGACGAUCAGAUACCAU
Molecule: ribosomal RNA, 470 nt
Filed under: uncultured eukaryote
Lineage: Eukaryota
Description: bacterial SSU rRNA
Rfam family: Eukaryotic small subunit ribosomal RNA
Source: RNAcentral